CCUUCCCUACGGGAGGCAGCAGUAGGGAAUCUUCCACAAUGGGCGAAAGCCUGAUGGAGCAACGCCGCGUGGGUGAAGAAGGUCUUCGGAUCGUAACACCCUGUUGUUAGAGAAGAAAGUGCGUGAGAGUAACUGUUCACGUUUCGACGGUAUCUAACCAGAAAGCCACGGCUAACUACGUGCCAGCAGCCGCGGUAAUACGUAGGUGGCAAGCGUUAUCCGGAUUUAUUGGGCGUAAAGGGAACGCAGGCGGUCUUUUAAGUCUGAUGUGAAAGCCUUCCGCUUAACCGGAGGAGUG
RNAcentral lists this ribosomal RNA (298 nucleotides) under uncultured bacterium. RNAcentral describes it as "partial 16S ribosomal RNA". It matches the Rfam family "Bacterial small subunit ribosomal RNA", at positions 333 to 623 of the family's 1533-position model. The record is from RNAcentral.